This 500-nucleotide ribosomal RNA is filed under the name uncultured Glomeromycotina. RNAcentral's name for it is "partial small subunit ribosomal RNA". It matches the Rfam family "Eukaryotic small subunit ribosomal RNA", at positions 591 to 1092 of the family's 1831-position model. Lineage: Eukaryota; Fungi; Glomeromycota. The record is from RNAcentral.
CCAAUAGCGUAUAUUAAAGUUGUUGCAGUUAAAAAGCUCGUAGUUGAAUUUCGGGAUCAUCAGGUCGGUCGUGCCUCUGGUAUGUACUUGCUUCGAUGGUCCCUCCUUCUUGAAGAACCGUAAUGCCAUUAAUUUGGUGUUGCGGGGAAACAGGACUGUUACUUUGAAAAAAUUAGAGUGUUUAAAGCAGGCAAUCGCUUGAAUACAUUAGCAUGGAAUAAUGAAAUAGGACGUUCGAUCCUACUUUGUUGGUUUCUAGGAUUGACGUAAUGAUUAAUAGGGAUAGUUGGGGGCAUUAGUAUUCAAUUGUCAGAGGUGAAAUUCUUGGAUUUAUUGAAGACUGACUACUGCGAAAGCAUUUGCCAAGGAUGUUUUCAUUAAUCAAGAACGAAAGUUAGGGGAUCGAAGACGAUCAGACACCGUCGUAGUCUUAACCAUAAACUAUGCCGACUAGGGAUCGGAUGAUGUUAAUUUUUUAAUGACUCAUUCGGCGCCUUACG